CACACUUCACUACAAGCUCUUUCUUUUUUCUCUAUUCCUGCUUUGCCUAGUCAAUUGAAAACCAAGGCUAGGCUGUGAAAAUUUGCUUACUUUUCCUUUUUUUCAUUUGCUUCUUACUAGUAUGUCCUAAUUAAUCUUCAAGCAUAAACAACAAUAUGUUCAUCAGUUGUUUCCUUUACUAUUGUCUGCUUCUACUUAUAUUUAAGCAAUCAAGUUUCAUUACUAAGCAUGUUGUAAUCUACUCCCUUCCCUUUCCGAAUUAAUGUAUUCCCUUAUGUAUGUACUUUGUCAGUCACUUGAUUAUAUGAUUUACUGGCUUAUGAAUCUC
Molecule: long non-coding RNA, 328 nt
Filed under: Nicotiana benthamiana
Lineage: Eukaryota; Viridiplantae; Streptophyta; Magnoliopsida; Solanales; Solanaceae
Description: long non-coding RNA (NBEN_LNC004707)
Source: RNAcentral